CGACAAGCAGCGGAGCAUGUGGUUUAAUUCGACGCAACGCGAAGAACCUUACCUGGGUUUGACAUGGCAGUGUAAGCCGUGGAAACACGGCCCCUCGCGAGAGCACUGUCACAGGUGGUGCAUGGCUGUCGUCAGCUCGUGUCGUGAGGUGUUGGGUUAAGUCCCCGCAACGAGCGCAACCCCUGUCCUAUGUUGCCAGCGGAUAAUGCCGGGGACUCGUAGGAUACUGCCGGUGACAAACCGGAGGAAGGUGGGAUGACGUCAAGUCAUCAUGCCCCUUAUGUCCAGGGCUACACACGUGCUACAAUGGCCGGUACAAAGGGCUGCAAGACCGCGAGGUGGAGCGAAUCCCAAAAGGCGGUCCCAGUUCAGAUUGUGGGCUGAAACUCGCCCACAUGAAGGCGGAAUUGCUAGUAAUUGCAGAUCAGCAUGCUGCAGUGAAUACGUUCCCGGGCCUU
RNAcentral lists this ribosomal RNA (458 nucleotides) under uncultured Rubrobacteria bacterium. Its description in RNAcentral is "bacterial SSU rRNA". It matches the Rfam family "Bacterial small subunit ribosomal RNA", at positions 922 to 1382 of the family's 1533-position model. Lineage: Bacteria; Bacillati; Actinomycetota; Rubrobacteria. The record is from RNAcentral.